This is a long non-coding RNA of Magallana angulata, 850 nucleotides long. RefSeq lists it as uncharacterized. NCBI's taxonomy places the organism in Eukaryota, Metazoa, Mollusca, Bivalvia, Ostreida, Ostreidae. The record is from RefSeq and is a predicted model, not a curated record. The transcript is spliced from 7 exons.
ACAAUCGGGUUCGUUAUCGGGGUUGGGCUAUCCUCUUUGGCUUGAUUCGGGGUACAGAAGACGCAUUGAUGCAGAGGGUGUUACUAACAGCAUUAGUCAUUUCACCAAUGAUACAGACAAAGAUGCUAAUUUGGUCAUGAAGCUGAAUGUCUUUAAUGACAAAGAGGACCUCUGUCUGUAUGCUGUGAAGAAUAUACAGCCAAGGGAAUAGAUUCAAUACAAUUAUGGAGAUAAAGAGAACCUUUGGUGGAGGAGCAAGUAAUUUCUAAGAUGGCACAACGAGAAGAGAAUGCUGCAGAGGUGUUAGAUUGAGAUGUUGAGCAAAUGGAUUUAGAGCAAUGUUAAGAGAAUGCUGGAGAGGAGUUAGAUGGAGAUGUUGAGCAAGUGGAUCUGGAGCAAGAAGCAGAGAAAGCUGGAGAGUAUGUUUUAGAUGGAGACGUUAAUCAAGUGGAUUUGAAGCAACGUUAAGAGAAUGCUGGAGAGGUGUUAGAUGGAGAUGUUGAGGUAAAACAUGUCUGGAGGGUUACUUGAGCAGAUCUACAUCCUUUUCUUGCACAGUUCUUCAGUUCAGAACAAAGAUCAUGAAUGAAAAGAACAAAAGAAAAAAGAAGCAUUCCAAUCGAUUAAAAAACUUUUUUUUUAAGAUUUUUUAAACCAAAACUUUAAAUCAAAUGCCUUCGUUUACUCCCUUUUAGCUAACCGGAGAUGAAAGCUCAUGUGAGCUUUUCAGAUCACUUUUUUGUAUGGCAUCUGUCUGUCAACUUUCAUAUUUUCAACUUAUUCCCUAGAACCACUUGGCUAAUUUCAACCAAACUUGGCAUGAAGAAACCUUGUGUAAAUGGCAUUCAAA